GGCAGACGCUUAACCACUGAACCACGCAGGCAUCCCUCUUUCAUCUUAUUUUAAUGCAGAACUACGCUGUGUCCAGUACAGAACCCAGUAGCCACGUGUGGUUAUUUAUAUUUAAAUUAAUUAAAAUUAAAUACAUUUAAAAAUCAGCUCAUCAGUCAUCCUGGCCACAUUCCAAGGUGCUCAGGGGCCACAUGGGCGCCGCUGGUGAACAACCCAGAUGUGACCAUUUCCACCAUCUGUCAGACAACAUCAGUCUGUAAUCUUCUUUUCCUUUUCAUAACAUUGACUUUCUUUCUAACGAGUCCAGGCCAUUGUCUUGUAGACAGUCUCACAGUCUGGAUUGUCCGUUUUUUUCAGUGUUAGUUUCUGGAAGGCCAUGUUUUGGCCAGAGCCCUGCACAGAGGAUGUGUUCCAUCACUAAUUGCAGAAGACUGCUAGUGUUACCUACGGUAUGAGUCGGAAGGCAUCGUUGUUCUAAUCUAUAAAUGGGACAACUGGGGGAUCAGAAGAGGCGAAUUAUGGCCACCAGCUGAAAGAGGUUUCUAACUCCUCAAAACCAAACAAACACUUCGUUUCUGAAUAACUUGUGAGGUAGUCAACAACUUGGGUAAUGUACUUGAAACUCACACAUGUGACAGUCUGUGGCAUAGUCAAGGACAGAAAAACAUGUGGUUGUCCCUGGCCGACCGCAGUUUGGAGCAAUGUUCUCUAUCUACUCGUUCAACAUUCCUUUGCUUCCUUUGAACUCCCUUUGAUGGGAGUUAAGAGAAAAAUAAUUUCUAUAAUGUCCAAAAUAAGGGAAUUUUUUUGGGGGGGGGCAGGUUACUGAGUGUGACAUCACAUUUAAACUUAUUUGGAAUUAUUUUAAGUUUUUAAAAAAAGGUGACCAAUAGCUUGGCAGUAUUAGUCAUCAUACUUAACUAAACAUGAACGUUGCCAUAAAGUCUUUCAAAUUAUGGUUAAGAAAAACCUUUUCUGGCUGGCCAAACUGUUCUCACUUGUCUGCAAUUUCUCUUUUCUUUCAAUUUGUUUGUUUGCUUGUUUUUAAUUUCCUGAAGCCAGUCAUUUUCUUGGGAGCCACAUGAAAAGAUGUUUGUAUCUAGAUAAUGUAAUAAAAUGCAGUAUAAUGUGGUCAGCGGCCCGAUACUGUCCAUUAGUCAGUUUCUGGAUUUUAGCUGGAGGAGAACGGAUUUCAGGAGACUGUCCACUGGCGCUGGUGAAUCUUGGGGCUGGUGUUGUUGUCUGUAAUUAUGUAGCAAAGAUACCAUCAAGGACAGACUGGAGCCUGGGAGGCCUGUUUUAAAUGUCCACUGGAAGAUAUUACCUAUUUCAGUAGACAAUUAACACUGUGCCGUAAUGUAAGGUGUCUCAUGGGCAAAACUGACAUAACAGGUACCACAUUUCUGAUCAUUUCAGCGAUGCCUUUGUCUUCUCUAUAUAAGGCACCUUGGCCAGCUGUUUCAUCUGGCUCCAGGCACGGUGGGAAGGCACUGGGCUGAGAGAAGCCUGGGUGUGAAUAUGUGACCUUGGGCAAGACACUUAACUCCGCUGAGACUCAGUUUCUCUCUUGUAAAAGGGCAAUAACAUCAAUUUUGCAGAGUUAUUAGAAAUAAUAUUGAAGUUGCAAAUGAGGCCAUUAUUAUUUUAAAAAGUAUACGGUAUAGUACAAUAUACUGUGUAUUAAAACAUUAUAUAAAUAAUAAUUAACAAGCAAUUAUCCUCUGUUAGUUCUUAAUAAACCUUGUUAACAUAUUGCUUCUUUGAAGAAUUAGUUCGAGAGCCCAGGCCUGUUAUAAAACACUGAUUUCUGGACGCCUGGGUGGCUCAGUUGGUUAAGCAACUGCUUUUGG
Molecule: long non-coding RNA, 1850 nt
Organism: Mustela erminea (ermine)
Lineage: Eukaryota; Metazoa; Chordata; Mammalia; Carnivora; Mustelidae
Exons: 3
Source: RefSeq, a predicted model, not a curated record